GGCUCCUUGGGGCUUGUAUAUAAGGAGUCGGACCUGCCCGGUGACUAGAAUGUUAAACGGCCGCGGUACCCUAACCGUGCAAAGGUAGCAUAAUCAUUUGCCUUUUAAUUGGAGGCUUGUAUGAAUGGUUUGACGAGAGCUAAGCUGUCUCUUUUGGAAUAUUUAGAAAUUAACUUUUAGGUGAAGAGGCCUAAAUAAAGUUGAGGGACAAGAAGACCCUGUUGAGCUUUAGUGUCGUGCUGGAGUUACUGUAUUAAUCUAGGAUUGUUUGUUAGGUUAGUUUCAUGUAUUUAAUAUAAUGUUGUUUUAGUGCUAUAUCUUUAGUUGGGGCGACUGAGGAACAUUUAAAGCUUCCUUUAGAUUAUAUGAACGUUUUUAAGAAUAAAUAUUGCUACUGGCAAGUUAACAUUAGAUCCAGUAUUUAUUGAUUAAAGGAAAAAGUUACCACAGGGAUAACAGCGUAAUCUUUCUGGAGAGAUCUUAUCGAAAGGAGGGUUUGCGACCUCGAUGUUGGACUAAGAUAUCCUAAGGGUGUAGAAGCUCUUAAUGGUUGGUC
Molecule: ribosomal RNA, 556 nt
Filed under: Coelotrochus tiaratus
Lineage: Eukaryota; Metazoa; Mollusca; Gastropoda; Trochida; Trochidae
Description: Trochus tiaratus partial 16S ribosomal RNA
Rfam family: Bacterial large subunit ribosomal RNA
Source: RNAcentral